Molecule: ribosomal RNA, 493 nt
Filed under: uncultured bacterium
Lineage: Bacteria
Description: partial 16S ribosomal RNA
Rfam family: Bacterial small subunit ribosomal RNA
Source: RNAcentral
ACGAACGCUGGCGGCGUGCUUAACACCUGCAAGUCGAACGGUGAAGCGCCUUCCUUUUUGGUGGGUGUGGAUGAGUGGCGAACGGGUGAGUAACACGUGAGUAACCUGCCCCCUUCUUCUGGAUAACCGCAUGAAAGUGUGGCUAAUACGGGAUAUUCUGGGUCUGUCGCAUGAUGGGUCUGGGAAAGAUAUUGUUUCGGUGGGGGAUGGGCUCGCGGCCUAUCAGCUUGUUGGUGGGGUGAUGGCCUACCAAGGCGGUGACGGGUAGCCGGCCUGAGAGGGUGGACGGUCACACUGGGACUGAGACACGGCCCAGACUCCUACGGGAGGCAGCAGUGGGGAAUAGUGCACAAUGGGCGCAAGCCUGAUGCAGCGACGCCGCGUGAGGGAUGGAGGCCUGCGGGUUGUGAACCUCUUUCGCCAGUGAAGCAGGCCUGCCUCGUUUGUGGGUGGGUUGACGGUAGCUGGAUAAGAAGCGCCGGCUAACUACGUG